This 544-nucleotide ribosomal RNA is filed under the name Penicillium simplicissimum. Its description in RNAcentral is "eukaryotic LSU rRNA". The stretch from base 187 to 339 matches the Rfam family "5.8S ribosomal RNA". The record is from RNAcentral. Lineage: Eukaryota; Fungi; Ascomycota; Eurotiomycetes; Eurotiales; Aspergillaceae.
GAAGAAUCAUUACCGAGUAGGGGCCUCUGGGUCCAACCUCCCACCCGUGUUUAUUGUACCUUGUUGCUUCGGCGGGCCCGCCUCACGGCCGCCGGGGGGCACCCGCCCCCGGGCCCGCGCCCGCCGAAGACACCAUUGAACUCUGUCUGAAGAUUGCAGUCUGAGCAGAUUAGCUAAAUCAGUUAAAACUUUCAACAACGGAUCUCUUGGUUCCGGCAUCGAUGAAGACGCAGCGAAAUGCGAUAAGUAAUGUGAAUUGCAGAAUUCAGUGAAUCAUCGAGUCUUUGAACGCACAUUGCGCCCCCUGGUAUUCCGGGGGGCAUGCCUGUCCGAGCGUCAUUGCUGCCCUCAAGCACGGCUUGUGUGUUGGCUUCGCCCCCCGGCUCCCGGGGGGCGGGCCCGAAAGGCAGCGGCGGCACCGCGUCCGGUCCUCGAGCGUAUGGGGCUUCGUCACCCGCUCUGUAGGCCCGGCCGGCGCGCCGGCGACCCCAAUCAAUCUUUCCAGGUUGACCUCGGAUCAGGUAGGGAUACCCGCUGAACUUAA